CUGAGCUCCCUGCCCUCUUUCUCCGGGGACUGGAGGACUGGCGCCCUCCUCCGGGAGUCGGAAGAGGCGCUCCCUCCCCUCCUAGCGGGUGUAGGAGGGCCCAGGCCCAGAAGACUUGCAGCUCCCCAAUGUGCGCCUCGGAUCCCCAGCGGGCGCCGCGGUGUAGGAAGGGACGGAUGGAAACCGCCGCAGCCUUAAUUUGGCAUCUUGAAGUGAAAAGAAACGUGAUGGAAAUGAGUCAGUUGAUCACUGUGACGUACACACGAGUGGAAUCAGCGGCCUAAUGCUUUUGUUCUGUCGGGUGCCGCGUUACAUGUUUAUAUUUACCGUCCUAUGCUAGGCUGUAAGCUCCCUGACGGCACUAUUUCCUGUCCGCACUAUUUCCUGGCCGCAGGGCCCAGAAUGCAACAGGUCUUUCUGAGUUAUGUUGAGGAAGUUGCUGAACACAGAAGCUUCCUAAGUCAGUAUGAAUGUUUUAAGUUAUUACGUAGUAGCCAAUGGGCAGAAAUUUUUGAAUUUAAAAUCCUUAGCUUCAUCUACGUGGAAGCCAUUGUCUGCUCUAGUUUGGCCAUUUGAUCACCGAAACUGCCCCAGACUUUCAGCCUGUCUAGGCAGCUGGAACUUGUUCUGGAAAAGGAAAGAUGAAGAUAGUUCUGAUGUGCUAAGAAUCUUGGUGCCUAGAACUUGUUCUGGAAAAGGAAGGAUGAAGAUAGUUCUGAUGCACCAAGAAUCUUGGUGCCUAGCAUUUAUAUUUUUGGAAUUGAAUUUUGAAAUUAUUUUGGCAAGUGAAUUCAGCUUUUUUAAAAAAAAUUGUGGUAAAAUACAGCCUUUCUAAGAAAAGUCUACAGCAUUCUUUCUCUGCAAGUUCUCUUAACUACAGUGACUUCAACAGUUUUUUUAUACUUUGAGUCUAUACGGACAUUUGUACAUGAGAGUCCUGCCUUAAUUUUGCUGUUUGCCCUCGGAUCUCUGGGUUUGAUUUUUGCAUUGACUUUAAACAGACAUAAGUAUCCCCUUAACCUGUACCUACUUUUUGGAUUUACGCUGUUGGAAGCUCUGACUGUGGCAGUUGUUGUUACUUUCUAUGAUGUAUAUAUUAUUCUGCAAGCUUUCAUACUGACUACUACAGUAUUUUUUGGUUUGACUGUGUAUACUCUACAAUCUAAGAGGGAUUUCAGCAAAUUUGGCGCUGGGGUCUUUGCUCUUUUGUGGAUAUUGUGCCUGUCAGGAUUCUUGAAGUUAUUUUUUUAUAGUGAGACAAUGGAGUUGGUCUUAGCUGCUGCAGGAGCCCUUCUUUUCUGUGGAUUCAUCAUCUAUGACACACACUCACUGAUGCAUAAACUGUCACCUGAAGAGUACGUAUUAGCUGCCAUCAGCCUCUACUUGGAUAUCAUCAAUCUAUUCCUGCACCUGUUACGGUUUCUGGAAGCAGUUAAUAAAAAGUAAUUAAAAGUAUCUCAGCUCAACUGAAGAACAACAACAACAAAAAAAUUAAUGAGAAAAAAAGGAUUAAAAAAGUAAUUGGAAGCAGUAUAUAGAAACUGUUUCAUUAAGUAAUAAAGUUUGAAACAAUGUUUAAAUACUGUUACAAUCUUUAUUUGUAUCAUAUGUAAUUUUGAGAGUUUUAAAAUCUUACUGUUCUUUAUGAUACCUCAUUUCUAAAUCCUUGAUUUAGGAUCUCAGUUAAGAGCUAUCAAAAAUUCUAUUAAAAAUACUUUUCUGGGUGUGCACAGUGGCUCACGCCUUUAAUCCCACCACUUUGUGAGACGAAGGCAGGUGGAUCACGAGGUCAAGAGGUCGAGACCAUCCUGGCCAACAUGGUGAAACCCCAUCUCUACUAAAAAUACAAAAAUUAGCUGGGUGUGGUGGCACGUGCCUGUAGUCCCAGCUACUCAAGACGCUGAGGCCAGAGAAUCGCUUGAACCUCGGAGAUGGAGAUGGAGGUUGCACUGAGCCAAGAUCACGCCACUGCACUCCAGCCUGGCGACAAAGUGAGACUCAGUCUCCAAAAAAAAAAAAAAAAAAAGUUUUUCUUCCUAAAUUAGCCAUGCAUAGCUGUUUGUUUGCAAUUCAAAAGUAAUUUUAUGAGUAUAUAAUAGUAUCAGUUUACCUUUGUCUAGUGAUUUUAUCUCAAUUUUCCCUGAAUUAUUAAGUAAUAUUGAUUUGUCUUUGAUUCUAGAGUAGUAGAGUCUUUACCAUUAUAAACUGUAAAUCUCUCUUUGCUUGGCAAUUUUCAUCUAAUUUAAAAGGAAAAAAAUAUAAAAGAUAAAUUCCACAGAGAAUUAUUCAGUAUUAUAUUAAAAUUGUAUUAAAAUGUUAAUGACUUUUUAUUUUAAAUUGUACUAAAAUUAAAAGUCUGCCUGAAAGUCAGAUAUUAUGACAAAAUUUGACAUUAAUUGUUUUUUAAAGUAUAGAUUUCAUUUGAAAUUAUACAAUGCUAAUGUGGUUAGAGGACACCAAAGUUACUGGGUCAUCAGCCAUUAAGUAUAUCUAUUUCAAAAUAAAAAUACUUGGGAA
RNA transcript from Mandrillus leucophaeus (drill), 2517 nucleotides. It is a transcript of the gene named transmembrane BAX inhibitor motif containing 4, with no coding region annotated. The transcript has 7 exons. The record is from RefSeq and is a predicted model, not a curated record. NCBI's taxonomy places the organism in Eukaryota, Metazoa, Chordata, Mammalia, Primates, Cercopithecidae.